RNAcentral lists this ribosomal RNA (492 nucleotides) under uncultured bacterium. Its description in RNAcentral is "partial 16S ribosomal RNA". It matches the Rfam family "Bacterial small subunit ribosomal RNA", at positions 29 to 507 of the family's 1533-position model. The record is from RNAcentral.
AGUGAACGCUGGCGGUAGGCCUAACACAUGCAAGUCGAACGGCAGCACAGUAAGAGCUUGCUCUUACGGGUGGCGAGUGGCGGACGGGUGAGGAAUACAUCGGAAUCUACUUUUUCGUGGGGGAUAACGUAGGGAAACUUACGCUAAUACCGCAUACGACCUACGGGUGAAAGCAGGGGAUCUUCGGACCUUGCGCGAUUGAAUGAGCCGAUGUGGGAUUAGCUAGUUGGCGGGGUAAAGGCCCACCAAGGCGACGAUCCGUAGCUGGUCUGGGAGGAUGGUCGGCCACACUGGAACUGGGACACGGUCCAGGCUCCUGCGGGAGGCAGCAGUGGGGAAUAUUGGACAGUGGGCGCGAGCCUGAUCCAGCCGUACCGCGUGGGUGAAGGAGGCCUUCGGGUUGUAAAGCCCUUUUGUUGGGAAAGAAAAGCAGCAGGUUAAUACCCCGCUGUUCUGACGGUACCCAAAGAAUAAGCACCGGCUAACUUCGUG